This 760-nucleotide ribosomal RNA is filed under the name uncultured bacterium. Its description in RNAcentral is "bacterial SSU rRNA". It matches the Rfam family "Bacterial small subunit ribosomal RNA", at positions 8 to 804 of the family's 1533-position model. The record is from RNAcentral.
AGAGUUUGAUCCUGGCUCAGAACGAACGCUGGCGGCAGGCCUAACACAUGCAAGUCGAACGAUAAGCCACCUUCGGGUGGUGGACAGUGGCAGACGGGUGAGUAACGCGUGGGAACGUGUCUUUCGGUUCGGAAUAACCCAGGGAAACUUGGGCUAAUACCGGAUACGCCCUUCGGGGGAAAGAUUCAUUGCCGAAAGAUCGGCCCGCGUCGGAUUAGCUAGUUGGUGGGGUAAUGGCUCACCAAGGCGACGAUCCGUAGCUGGUCUGAGAGGAUGAUCAGCCACAUUGGGACUGAGACACGGCCCAAACUCCUACGGGAGGCAGCAGUGGGGAAUAUUGGACAAUGGGCGCAAGCCUGAUCCAGCCAUGCCGCGUGAGUGAUGAAGGCCCUAGGGUUGUAAAGCUCUUUUGUGCGGGAAGAUAAUGACGGUACCGCAAGAAUAAGCCCCGGCUAACUUCGUGCCAGCAGCCGCGGUAAUACGAAGGGGGCCAGCGUUGCUCGGAAUCACUGGGCGUAAAGGGUGCGUAGGCGGGUCUUUAAGUCAGGGGUGAAAUCCUGGAGCUCAACUCCAGAACUGCCUUUGAUACUGAGGAUCUUGAGUUCGGGAGAGGUGAGUGGAACUGCGAGUGUAGAGGUGAAAUUCGUAGAUAUUCGCAAGAACACCGGUGGCGAAGGCGGCCCACUGGUCCGGUACUGACGCUGAGGUGCGAAAGCGUGGGGAGCAAACAGGAUUAGAUACCCUGGUAGUCCACGCCUUA